CAGCCGUAAACUAUGCUCGCUAGGUGUCAGGCAUGGCGCGACCGUGUCUGGUGCCGCAGGGAAGCCGUGAAGCGAGCCACCUGGGAAGUACGGCCGCAAGGCUGAAACUUAAAGGAAUUGGCGGGGGAGCACAACAACGGGUGGAGCCUGCGGUUUAAUUGGACUCAACGCCGGGAAGCUCACCGGAUAAGACAGCGGAAUGAUUGCCGGGCUGAAGACUCUGCAUGACUAGCUGAGAGGAGGUGCAUGGCGUAGACGU
This 259-nucleotide ribosomal RNA is filed under the name uncultured archaeon. RNAcentral describes it as "partial 16S ribosomal RNA". It matches the Rfam family "Archaeal small subunit ribosomal RNA", at positions 748 to 1007 of the family's 1478-position model. The record is from RNAcentral.